GCGCGGGUAGUAUAGUGGUUAGUAUGUCGCGUUGCCAACGCGAUGACCCGGGUUCGACUCCCGGCUCGCGCA
This 72-nucleotide transfer RNA is filed under the name Candidatus Pacearchaeota archaeon. RNAcentral describes it as "tRNA-Gly". It matches the Rfam family "tRNA". Rfam says of the family: Transfer RNA (tRNA) molecules are approximately 80 nucleotides in length. Their secondary structure includes four short double-helical elements and three loops (D, anti-codon, and T loops). RNAcentral also lists the same sequence under 1 other name. Lineage: Archaea; Nanobdellati. The record is from RNAcentral.